GAAGGCUCUUAGGGCCAGCGGGCCCAGGAGCUCCUAGUCAUGGGAUUUCAUGGACCUAUCACUUUUUAAAAGUUAGGUCUGCUCACUCUGUGUCAUCAAGGACAGACCCAAUGGCCCUAACACGAACCCACUGCCAUUUGUUAUCUCCAAGCAGCAGAGCUCUCAGCAUCAAGGACUUUCUAAGAAAGGACCAUGGUGAUGGCUUUGUGACCUGCCUGUGCUACAGUAACAGAACCUUUGGUCCAGAGCCUGGGAUGUUGCCUUUUGCCCACUGGAAUUCCCAUCUUGGAAGAGUAAGCGCAGGGGAUUGUCCAGACAGCCAGGAGGCCAGCGAAGCCAAGUCCUUCAGUACAGCCUGGGAGCCUCCAGGAAGCUGUUAGGAGUUGCCAUGAUGGGUGCAUUUGGACUCACAGAAUCUGCCUUCCAAUCUCAGUGCUGCUUCUACUCCUUUGCUACCUUAGGUCUUUGAAGACAGGUCCAUACCUUGGGUGUUUGUAUUUGGACAACCACAGACAUUGCCAAGAAAUGUAUCUGUUCUACUUGCACACCUUCACCACCUGGAUGCUGCUUGAGGACACAGAUCUGGUCCAUCAGAUUUCUCUCUGUACUCCUCUCUAUAUUUCGCCAUAUUUGAUAUAGACCCAUCAAUGGCUCCCUAGAAUAAAAUCUCAACUCUUCACUGUGCCCACAG
Long non-coding RNA from Homo sapiens (human), 691 nucleotides. Lineage: Eukaryota; Metazoa; Chordata; Mammalia; Primates; Hominidae. The record is from Ensembl.